Molecule: ribosomal RNA, 486 nt
Filed under: uncultured bacterium
Lineage: Bacteria
Description: partial 16S ribosomal RNA
Rfam family: Bacterial small subunit ribosomal RNA
Source: RNAcentral
GACGAACGCUGGCGGCGUGCUUAACACAUGCAAGUCGAACGCUGAAGACCUGGCUUUUGUUGGGUUGGAUGAGUGGCGAACGGGUGAGUAACACGUGAGUAACCUGCCCUCUUCUUUGGGAUAACGCCCGGAAACGGGUGCUAAUACUGGAUAUUCACUGAUCUUCGCAUGGGGGUUGGUGGAAAGGUUUGUUCUGGUGGGGGAUGGGCUCGCGGCCUAUCAGCUUGUUGGUGGGGUGAUGGCCUACCAAGGCUUUGACGGGUAGCCGGCCUGAGAGGGUGACCGGUCACAUUGGGACUGAGAUACGGACCAGACUCGUACGGGAGGCAGCAGUGGGGAAUAUUGCACAAUGGGCGAAAGCAUGAUGCAGCGACGCUGCGUGAGGGAUGGAGGCCUUCGGGUUGUAAACCUCUUUCGCUCAUGGUCAAGCCGCAACUGUGGGUUGUGGUGAGGGUAGUGGGUAAAGAAGCGCCGGCUAACUACGUG